RNAcentral lists this ribosomal RNA (403 nucleotides) under bacterium enrichment culture clone ALO1_GLFRUDD03GKN4V. RNAcentral describes it as "bacterial SSU rRNA". It matches the Rfam family "Bacterial small subunit ribosomal RNA", at positions 9 to 414 of the family's 1533-position model. The record is from RNAcentral.
GAGUUUGAUCUUGGCUCAGAUUGAACGCUGGCGGCAGGCCUAACACAUGCAAGUCGAGCGGAUGACGGGAGCUUGCUCCUUGAUUCAGCGGCGGACGGGUGAGUAAUGCCUAGGAAUCUGCCUGGUAGUGGGGGACAACGUUUCGAAAGGAACGCUAAUACCGCAUACGUCCUACGGGAGAAAGCAGGGGACCUUCGGGCCUUGCGCUAUCAGAUGAGCCUAGGUCGGAUUAGCUAGUUGGUGGGGUAAUGGCUCACCAAGGCGACGAUCCGUAACUGGUCUGAGAGGAUGAUCAGUCACACUGGAACUGAGACACGGUCCAGACUCCUACGGGAGGCAGCAGUGGGGAAUUUUGGACAAUGGGGGCAACCCUGAUCCAGCCAUGCCGCGUGAGUGAAGAAGG